Molecule: ribosomal RNA, 275 nt
Filed under: uncultured bacterium
Lineage: Bacteria
Description: partial 16S ribosomal RNA
Rfam family: Bacterial small subunit ribosomal RNA
Source: RNAcentral
GAUGAACGCUAGCGGCAGGCCUAACACAUGCAAGUCGAGGGGCAGCACGGUGUAGCAAUACACUGGUGGCGACCGGCGCACGGGUGCGUAACGCGUAUGCAACCUACCAUAACGAGGGGGAUAACACUGAGAAAUUGGUACUAACUACCCCAUAACAUCAGGACCGGCAUCGGUUCUGGUUAGAAACUCCGGUGGUUAUGGAUGGGCAUGCGUUGUAUUAGCUGGUUGGUGAGGUAACGGCUCACCAAGGCAACGAUACAGUAGGGGGGACUGAG